Molecule: ribosomal RNA, 431 nt
Filed under: uncultured bacterium
Lineage: Bacteria
Description: bacterial SSU rRNA
Rfam family: Bacterial small subunit ribosomal RNA
Source: RNAcentral
ACGAACGCUGGCGGCAUGCCUAAUACAUGCAAGUCGAACGAACACUUCGGUGUUAGUGGCGCACGGGUGCGUAACGCGUGGGAAUCUGCCCUUGGGUUCGGAAUAACUUCGGGAAACUGAAGCUAAUACCGGAUGAUGACGUAAGUCCAAAGAUUUAUCGCCCAAGGAUGAGCCCGCGUAGGAUUAGCUAGUUGGUGAGGUAAAGGCUCACCAAGGCUACGAUCCUUAGCUGGUCUGAGAGGAUGAUCAGCCACACUGGGACUGAGACACGGCCCAGACUCCUACGGGAGGCAGCAGUAGGGAAUAUUGGACAAUGGGCGAAAGCCUGAUCCAGCAAUGCCGCGUGAGCGAUGAAGGCCUUAGGGUUGUAAAGCUCUUUUACCCGGGAUGAUAAUGACAGUACCGGGAGAAUAAGCCCCGGCUAACUCCGU